UCCCAUGUUGUCUAGGGGUUAGGAUACCUGGCUCUCACCCAGGAGGCCCGGGUUCAAUUCCCGGUAUGGGAA
This 72-nucleotide transfer RNA is filed under the name Daphnia pulex (common water flea). It matches the Rfam family "tRNA". From Rfam's summary of the family: Transfer RNA (tRNA) molecules are approximately 80 nucleotides in length. The record is from Rfam by way of RNAcentral. Lineage: Eukaryota; Metazoa; Arthropoda; Branchiopoda; Diplostraca; Daphniidae.